UCUCUUCAUUUUAUGGAUUGUUAUCCUUAGGUUUUUUUUUUUCCUUGGCAAACAAUCCUUUAGCAUUGUGAGUCUCUUUCUUGGUAGCAUGUUGCAGCUCCAUUUCUUUAGAUUUUAAAGUUGUAAUGAUGGAAUUAACUGUAAUGGUAUCUCUACUGUACUUUAGGACUGUUUGCAUCCUUGUAGGAAUCUAAAAGCGAGUUCAACAAAACAAAGGUUUCAUUAUCUUUGCCUAUUGUUUCUCCUAAAGAUUUGAACUCAGUUGUAAUCCUCUUAUACUCAUCAAGAUUUUCAUUCAAGUUCUUUGCAAAAUCCAUUUUGAACGUGAAGAACCUUUCUUUAAGGUACAUCUUCUUGGGAAGUUUUGACGGGUCGAGAAUAACCUUGGAUUCCUUUUGUUGCCCCAAGAUCACCUUGAUCUUAGCUUUCCACAAUCCAAAAUGGCACUUUGAGAUGGCAGCACAUGGAGAUGAAUGAUAAAGCCACGAUUAUGCCUUCUACUUUCAUGCAAUGAAGGAGAUGCCCUAGCAAAACCAAAUUCCCUAAUUCAAAAUAAAUCUAAGAAGGCGAUAGAGAGAAGAAGUCUGGAGCAAUCUUGUUGAGACGAGCUGAUGAAGAAAUUACGGUAAGAUGAAAAAGAUGAAGAUGAUGAUGAAUAAGAAGACACGAGAAUUAUGUGGUUCAGCUUAAAGAAGCCUAUAUCCACUACAAAGGAAGGGAGCUUGUAUUGUUUUAUUAAUCAAAACUGAGAGAAUUUACAGAAA
Benincasa hispida (wax gourd) is the source of this 764-nucleotide non-coding RNA. The record is from RefSeq and is a predicted model, not a curated record. NCBI's taxonomy places the organism in Eukaryota, Viridiplantae, Streptophyta, Magnoliopsida, Cucurbitales, Cucurbitaceae.